Molecule: ribosomal RNA, 255 nt
Filed under: uncultured bacterium
Lineage: Bacteria
Description: partial 16S ribosomal RNA
Rfam family: Bacterial small subunit ribosomal RNA
Source: RNAcentral
CGGGAGAGGGUUGUGGAAUUCCCGGUGUAGAGGUGAAAUUCGUAGAUAUCGGGAGGAACAUCGGUGGCGAAGGCGGCAACCUGGACCGAUACUGACGCUGAGACGCGAAAGCGUGGGGAGCAAACAGGAUUAGAUACCCUGGUAGUCCACGCCGUAAACGAUGAGUGCUAAGUGUUGGAGGGUUUCGGCCCUUCAGUGCUGCAGCUAACGCAUUAAGCACUCCGCCUGGGGAGUACGACCGCAAGGUUGAAACUC